UACGUAGGGGGCUAGCGUUGUCCGGAUUUAUUGGGCGUAAAGAGCGUGUAGGUGGCCAGGUAGGUCUGGUGUGAAAACUCGAGGCUUAACCUCGAGAUGUCAUCGGAAACCAUUUGGCUAGAGUCCGGAAGAGGAGAGUGGAAUUCCUGGUGUAGCGGUGAAAUGCGCAGAUAUCAGGAAGAACACCAAUGGCGAAAGCAGCUCUCUGGGACGGUACUGACGCUGAGACGCGAAAGCGUGGGGAGCGAACAGG
This 253-nucleotide ribosomal RNA is filed under the name uncultured bacterium. RNAcentral describes it as "partial 16S ribosomal RNA". It matches the Rfam family "Bacterial small subunit ribosomal RNA", at positions 524 to 776 of the family's 1533-position model. The record is from RNAcentral.